UACGGAGGGGGCUAGCGUUGUUCGGAAUUACUGGGCGUAAAGCGCACGUAGGCGGCUUGUAAGUUAGAGGUGAAAAGCCCGGGGCUCAACUCCGGAAUUGCCUUUUAAGACUGCAUCGCUGAGAAUUGUGGAGAGGUAAGUGGAAUUCCGAGUGUAGAGGUGAAAUUCGUAGAUAUUCGGAAGAACACCAGUGGCGAAGGCGACU
Molecule: ribosomal RNA, 205 nt
Filed under: uncultured bacterium
Lineage: Bacteria
Description: partial 16S ribosomal RNA
Rfam family: Bacterial small subunit ribosomal RNA
Source: RNAcentral